CGAGAGUUAGUUUAACAAAAACACUUAAUUUCGACUUAAGAAAAUUCAGUAACCACCCUGAAACCCUCUU
This 70-nucleotide transfer RNA is filed under the name Aquilonastra batheri. RNAcentral describes it as "tRNA-Arg". Lineage: Eukaryota; Metazoa; Echinodermata; Asteroidea; Valvatida; Asterinidae. The record is from RNAcentral.